Bos taurus (domestic cattle) is the source of this 594-nucleotide long non-coding RNA. Lineage: Eukaryota; Metazoa; Chordata; Mammalia; Artiodactyla; Bovidae. The record is from Ensembl.
GGAGGUAGCAUUGGAGAAGGCGAUGGCAACCCACUCCAGUGUUCUCGCCUGGAGAAUCCCAGGGACGGGAGAGCCUGGUGGGCUGCCGUCUAUGGGGUCGCACAGAGUCAGACACAACUGAAGCAACUUAGCAGUAGCAGCAGCAGCAGCAGACUCUGGAGGGCAGGUCCCUCGUCAGAGUCAGACAAGAGCCAAACCCUGUUCUCCAAGCAUGGCAUGAUGGGAGGGGAGAAAACAGGUUCUCCCAGAUUUGGAUCUCCUGUUGAGGACCACAGAGGAUUUCAUGGUGGCCUCAUCACCCUGUUGCUGGUGUGAAGGUGUGUGUGUGCGUGCAUGUGUGAUGAACAAAGGAGGAGCACGUGACCUCAGUCAAUCCAAUGGGAGUCGGUUUUGGAACGUAAGCCAUAAAGACUGGGAAAGUGGCUCUCCCUUGGUUGCCAUCCUUGCUGCAGCAUGGACAUGGUCAUGGUCAGCUAAGAAGGAAGCCCACACAGAAGGAAACAGUCAAGGGAAGGAGAGAAAAUCCGAUGCCAUCAUCAAGUCCCUCAUCUGGCUAUACCAAAGCCAAAUAAACAUCCCAAACCUCCCAAUUAU